UUGAUUGGUUAAGGCUCCCAGUAGACGACUGGGUUGAUAGGCCAGAUGUGGAAGCCUGGUAACGGGUGGAGCUGACUGGUACUAAUAGGCCGAGGGCUUGUCCUCAGUUG
This 110-nucleotide ribosomal RNA is filed under the name Streptomyces sp. A0958. RNAcentral's name for it is "partial 23S ribosomal RNA". It matches the Rfam family "Bacterial large subunit ribosomal RNA", at positions 2820 to 2925 of the family's 2925-position model. The record is from RNAcentral. Lineage: Bacteria; Bacillati; Actinomycetota; Actinomycetes; Kitasatosporales; Streptomycetaceae.